CAGCAGCCACGGUAAUACAGAGGGUGCGAGCGUUAAUCGGAUUUACUGGGCGUAAAGCGUGCGUAGGCGGCUUCUUAAGUCGGAUGUGAAAUCCCUGAGCUUAACUUAGGAAUUGCAUUCGAUACUGGGAAGCUAGAGUAUGGGAGAGGAUGGUAGAAUUCCAGGUGUAGCGGUGAAAUGCGUAGAGAUCUGGAGGAAUACCGAUGGCGAAGGCAGCCAUCUGGCCUAAUACUGACGCUGAGGUACGAAAGCAUGGGGAGCAAACAGGAUUAGAUACCCCCGUAGUCCCUGUCUCUUAUAA
This 301-nucleotide ribosomal RNA is filed under the name uncultured bacterium. RNAcentral's name for it is "partial 16S ribosomal RNA". It matches the Rfam family "Bacterial small subunit ribosomal RNA", at positions 509 to 809 of the family's 1533-position model. The record is from RNAcentral.